UACGUAGGCAGCGAGCGUUGUUCGGAGUUACUGGGCGUAAAGGGUGUGUAGGCGGUUCUCUUAGUUUGGUGGGAAAUCUCCCGGCUCAACCGGGAGGGUGCGCCGAAAACUGGAGGGCUAGAGUGCGGGAAGGGAGAGUAGAAUUCCUGGUGUAGCGGUGAAAUGCGUAGAUAUCAGGAGGAAUACCGGUGGUGUAGACGGCUCUCUGGACCGCGACUGACGCUGAGACACGAAAGCGUGGGUAGCAAACAGG
RNAcentral lists this ribosomal RNA (253 nucleotides) under uncultured bacterium. RNAcentral describes it as "partial 16S ribosomal RNA". It matches the Rfam family "Bacterial small subunit ribosomal RNA", at positions 524 to 776 of the family's 1533-position model. The record is from RNAcentral.